UACGUAGGGGGCAAGCGUUGUCCGGAAUCAUUGGGCGUAAAGAGCGUGUAGGCGGCCAGGUAGGUCGGUUGUGAAAACUGGAGGCUCAACCUCCAGACGUCGAUGGAAACCGUCUGGCUAGAGUCCGGAAGAGGAGAGUGGAAUUCCUGGUGUAGCGGUGAAAUGCGCAGAUAUCAGGAAGAACACCCGUGGCGAAAGCGGCUCUCUGGGACGGUACUGACGCUGAGACGCGAAAGCGUGGGGAGCGAACAGG
This 253-nucleotide ribosomal RNA is filed under the name uncultured bacterium. Its description in RNAcentral is "partial 16S ribosomal RNA". It matches the Rfam family "Bacterial small subunit ribosomal RNA", at positions 524 to 776 of the family's 1533-position model. The record is from RNAcentral.